This 508-nucleotide ribosomal RNA is filed under the name uncultured bacterium. RNAcentral's name for it is "partial 16S ribosomal RNA". It matches the Rfam family "Bacterial small subunit ribosomal RNA", at positions 30 to 523 of the family's 1533-position model. The record is from RNAcentral.
AUUGAACGCUGGCGGCAUGCCUUACACAUGCAAGUCGAACGGCAGCGGGGGAGAAGCUUGCUUUUCCUGCCGGCGAGUGGCGGACGGGUGAGUAAUACAUCGGAACGUGCCCUGUAGUGGGGGAUAACUAGUCGAAAGAUUAGCUAAUACCGCAUACGACCUGAGGGUGAAAGUGGGGGACCGCAAGGCCUCAUGCUAUAGGAGCGGCCGAUGUCCGAUUAGCUAGUUGGUGGGGUAAGGGCCUACCAAGGCGACGAUCAGUAGCUGGUCUGAGAGGACGAUCAGCCACACUGGGACUGAGACACGGCCCAGACUCCUACGGGAGGCAGCAGUGGGGAAUUUUGGACAAUGGGCGAAAGCCUGAUCCAGCAAUGCCGCGUGUGUGAAGAAGGCCUUCGGGUUGUAAAGCACUUUUGUCCGGAAAGAAAUGGCUCUGGUUAAUACCUGGGGUUGAUGACGGUACCGGAAGAAUAAGGACCGGCUAACUACGUGCCAGCCGCCGCCGUAA